Clostridium novyi NT is the source of this 120-nucleotide regulatory RNA element. It matches the Rfam family "FMN riboswitch aptamer (RFN element)". From Rfam's summary of the family: The RFN element is a highly conserved domain that is found frequently in the 5'-untranslated regions of prokaryotic mRNAs that encode for flavin mononucleotide (FMN) biosynthesis and transport proteins. NCBI's taxonomy places the organism in Bacteria, Bacillati, Bacillota, Clostridia, Eubacteriales, Clostridiaceae. The record is from Rfam.
UUAAUCCUUCAGGGCAGGGUGAAAUUCCCGACCGGCGGUAAAGUCCGCGAGCCACUUUAGUGGUUGAUUUGGUGAGAUUCCAAGACCGACAGUAAAGUCUGGAUGGGAGAAUAGGAUUAA